RNAcentral lists this transfer RNA (93 nucleotides) under Mycolicibacterium litorale. Its description in RNAcentral is "tRNA-Val". Lineage: Bacteria; Bacillati; Actinomycetota; Actinomycetes; Mycobacteriales; Mycobacteriaceae. The record is from RNAcentral.
CGCGCUCUGGGUCAGGAGGCCGACCAGCGGGUUGACGGCCGACGGCAGAUGCAGGUGGCGCAUCAGUUCGGUGUUGGACACCCCGGGGUGCGC